AGAGUUUGAUCAUGGCUCAGGAUGAACGCUGGCGGCGUGCUUAACACAUGCAAGUCGAACGGGGUUUAAGAAGGAAGCUUGCUUUCAUUUUAAACCUAGUGGCGGACGGGUGAGUAACGCGUGAGGAACCUGCCCUUCAGUGGGGAACAACAACUAGAAAUGGUUGCUAAUACCGCAUAAUGUCGGAGAGCCGCAUGACAUUCCGACCAAAGGAUUUAUUCGCUGAAGGAUGGCCUCGCGUCCGAUUAGGCAGUUGGUGAGGUAACGGCCCACCAAACCUACGAUCGGUAGCCGAACUGAGAGGUUGAACGGCCACAUUGGGACUGAGACACGGCCCAGACUCCUACGGGAGGCAGCAGUGGGGGAUAUUGCGCAAUGGGGGCAACCCUGACGCAGCAACGCCGCGUGAAGGAUGAAGGUUUUCGGAUUGUAAACUUCUUUUGUUAGGGACGAAAAAUGACGGUACCUAACGAAUAAGCUCCGGCUAACUACGUGCCAGCAGCCGCGGUAAUACGUAGGAUGCGAGCGUUGUCCGGAAUUACUGGGCGUAAAGAGCUCGUAGGCGGGAAGAUACGUUUGGGAGUAAAUCUCACAGCUUAACUGUGAGUCUUUCCUGAAUACGGUCUUUCUUGAGGUCAGCAGGGGAGAAUGGAAUUCCCAGUGUAGCGGUGAAAUGCGUAGAUAUUGGGAAGAAUACCAGUGGCGAAGGCGAUUCUCUGGGCUGUCUCUGACGCUGAGGAGCGAAAGCGUGGGUAGCGAACGGGAUUAGAUACCCUGGUAGUCCACACCGUAAACGAUGAGCACUAGGUGUCGGGGGAGCAAUCCUUCGGUGCCGCAGUUAACGCAUUAAGUGCUCCGCCUGGGGAGUACGUACGCAAGUAUGAAACUCAAAGGAAUUGACGGGGGCCCGCACAAGCGGAGGAACAUGUGGUUUAAUUCGAUGAUACGCGAGGAACCUUACCCGGGCUUGAACUGCAGGCGUACGAUACAGAGAUGUUGAGGCCCUUCGGGGCGCCUGUGGAGGUGCUGCAUGGUUGUCGUCAGCUCGUGCCGUGAGGUAUCGGCUUAAGUGCCAUAACGAGCGCAACCCCCAUCUUCAGUUGCCAUCGGGUCAGGCCGGGCACUCUGGAGAGACUGCCGGCGCAAGCUGUGAGGAAGGCGGGGAUGACGUCAAAUCAGCACGGCCCUUACGUCCGGGGCGACACACGUGUUACAAUGGCGGGGCUACAGCGGGGAGCCAGGCGGCGACGCCGAGCUGAUCCCGAAAACCCGUCUCAGUUCGGAUCGGAGUCUGCAACCCGACUCCGUGAAGCUGGAUUCGCUAGUAAUCGCGCAUCAGCCAUGGCGCGGUGAAUACGUUCCCGGGCCUUGUACACACCGCCCGUCAAGCCAUGAAAGUCUGGGGCGCCUGAAGUCCGUGACCGAGAGGAGCGGCCUAGGGCGAAACAGGUAAUUGGGGCUAAGUCGUAACAAGGUAGCCGUACCGGAAGGUGUGGCUGGAACACCUCCUU
This 1511-nucleotide ribosomal RNA is filed under the name uncultured bacterium. RNAcentral's name for it is "partial 16S rRNA". It matches the Rfam family "Bacterial small subunit ribosomal RNA". The record is from RNAcentral.